This 460-nucleotide ribosomal RNA is filed under the name uncultured bacterium. RNAcentral's name for it is "partial 16S ribosomal RNA". It matches the Rfam family "Bacterial small subunit ribosomal RNA", at positions 338 to 795 of the family's 1533-position model. The record is from RNAcentral.
CCUACGGGCGGCAGCAGUGAGGAAUCUUGGUCAAUGGACGAGAGUCUGAACCAGCCAAGUAGCGUGAAGGAUGACUGCCCUAUGGGUUGUAAACUUCUUUUAUAUGGGAAUAAAAUGUUCCACGUGUGGGAUUUUGUAUGUACCAUAUGAAUAAGGAUCGGCUAACUCCGUGCCAGCAGCCGCGGUAAUACGGAGGAUCCGAGCGUUAUCCGGAUUUAUUGGGUUUAAAGGGAGCGUAGGUGGAUUGUUAAGUCAGUUGUGAAAGUUUGCGGCUCAACCGUAAAAUUGCAGUUGAAACUGGCAGUCUUGAGUACAGUAGAGGUGAGCGGAAUUCGUGGUGUAGCGGUGAAAUGCUUAGAUAUAACGAAGAACUCCGAUUGCGAAAGCAGUUCACUGGACUGCAACUGACACUGAGGCUCGAAAGUGUGGGUAUCAAACAGGAUUAGAUACCCGAGUAGUC